GCGGGAGUAGCUCAGUUGGUUAGAGCGCCGCCCUGUCACGGCGGAGGUCGCGGGUUCGAGUCCCGUCUCUCGCG
Molecule: transfer RNA, 74 nt
Filed under: Nitrobacter hamburgensis X14
Lineage: Bacteria; Pseudomonadati; Pseudomonadota; Alphaproteobacteria; Hyphomicrobiales; Nitrobacteraceae
Rfam family: tRNA
About the family: Transfer RNA (tRNA) molecules are approximately 80 nucleotides in length. Their secondary structure includes four short double-helical elements and three loops (D, anti-codon, and T loops).
Source: Rfam by way of RNAcentral